This 819-nucleotide ribosomal RNA is filed under the name uncultured eukaryote. Its description in RNAcentral is "SSU rRNA". It matches the Rfam family "Eukaryotic small subunit ribosomal RNA", at positions 629 to 1426 of the family's 1831-position model. The record is from RNAcentral.
CGGUGUUUAACUGGCGUGAUGUGGGACGUCCUACCGGUGGGCUUAGCCUCGCGAGGGGCGGCCCAACUAAUAUCCCGUCGCGGUGCUCUUUACUGAGUGUCGAGUCGGGCCGGUACGUUUACUUUGAACAAAUUAGAGUGCUUAAAGCAGGCUAUCCUCGCCUGAAUACUGCGUGCAUGGAAUAAUGGAAUAGGACCUCGGUUCUAUUUUGUUGGUUUUCGGAACCCCGAGGUAAUGAUUAAUAGGGACAGAUGGGGGCGUUCGUAUUGCGACGUUAGAGGUGAAAUUCUUGGAUCGUCGCAAGACGGACAGAAGCGAAAGCAUUUGCCAAAAAUGUUUUCAUUAAUCAAGAACGAAAGUUAGAGGUUCGAAGGCGAUCAGAUACCGCCCUAGUUCUAACCAUAAACGAUGCCAGCUAGCGAUCCGCCGAAGUUCCUCCGAUGACUCGGCGGGCAGCUUCCGGGAAACCAAAGCUUUUGGGUUCCGGGGGAAGUAUGGUUGCAAAGCUGAAACUUAAAGGAAUUGACGGAAGGGCACCACCAGGAGUGGAGCCUGCGGCUUAAUUUGACUCAACACGGGAAACCUCACCAGGCCCAGACACCGGAAGGAUUGACAGAUUGAUAGCUCUUUCUUGAUUCGGUGGGUGGUGGUGCAUGGCCGUUCUUAGUUGGUGGAGCGAUUUGUCUGGUUAAUUCCGAUAACGAACGAGACUCUAGCCUGCUAAAUAGGCGUACCUUAUGGUAUCGCGAAGGCCCCCGGCUUCGGCCGGUGGGUUUUUACUACCAACGUACAAACAAAUCUUCUUAGAGGGACAGGCGG